This 549-nucleotide ribosomal RNA is filed under the name uncultured bacterium. RNAcentral's name for it is "partial 16S ribosomal RNA". It matches the Rfam family "Bacterial small subunit ribosomal RNA", at positions 355 to 920 of the family's 1533-position model. The record is from RNAcentral.
UGGGGAAUAUUGCACAAUGGGCGAAAGCCUGAUGCAGCAACGCCGCGUGAGUGAUGAAGGCCUUCGGGUUGUAAAGCUCUGUCUUUUGGGACGAUAAUGACGGUACCAAAGGAGGAAGCCACGGCUAACUACGUGCCAGCAGCCGCGGUAAUACGUAGGUGGCAAGCGUUGUCCGGAUUUACUGGGCGUAAAGGAUGCGUAGGCGGAUUUUUAAGUGAGAUGUGAAAUACCCGGGCUUAACUUGGGUGCUGCAUUUCAAACUGGGAAUCUAGAGUGCGGGAGAGGAGAAUGGAAUUCCUAGUGUAGCGGUGAAAUUCGUAGAGAUUAGGAAGAACACCAGUGGCGAAGGCGAUUCUCUGGACCGUAACUGACGCUGAGGCAUGAAAGCGUGGGUAGCAAACAGGAUUAGAUACCCUGGUAGUCCACGCCGUAAACGAUGAGUACUAGGUGUAGGAGGUAUCGACCCCUUCUGUGCCGCAGUUAACACAAUAAGUACUCCGCCUGGGAAGUACGAUCGCAAGAUUAAAACUCAAAUGAAUUGACGGGGUC